GAGUUUGAUCGUGGCUCAGAUUGAACGCUGGCGGCAGGCCUAACACAUGCAAGUCGAGCGGUAGAGAGAAGCUUGCUUCUCUUGAGAGCGGCGGACGGGUGAGUAAUGCCUAGGAAUCUGCCUGGUAGUGGGGGAUAACGCUCGGAAACGGACGCUAAUACCGCAUACGUCCUACGGGAGGAAGCAGGGGACCUUCGGGCCUUGCGCUAUCAGAUGAGCCUAGGUCGGAUUAGCUAGUUGGUGAGGUAAUGGCUCACCAAGGCGACGAUCCGUAACUGGUCUGAGAGGAUGAUCAGUCACACUGGAACUGAGGCACGGUCCAGACUCCUACGGGAGGCAGCAGUGGGGAAUAUUGGACAAUGGGCGAAAGCCUGAUCCAGCCAUGCCGCGUGUGUGAAGAAGGUCUUCGGAUUGUAAAGCACUUUAAGUUGGGAGGAAGGGCAGUAAAUUAAUACUUUGCUGUUUUGACGUUACCGACAGAAUAAGCACCGGCUAACUCUGUGCCAGCCGCCGG
This 514-nucleotide ribosomal RNA is filed under the name uncultured bacterium. RNAcentral describes it as "bacterial SSU rRNA". It matches the Rfam family "Bacterial small subunit ribosomal RNA", at positions 9 to 518 of the family's 1533-position model. The record is from RNAcentral.